GGUUGCAUGGUGUAGUGGUUAGCAUAUCUGCUUUACAUGCAGAAGAUCCUGGGUUUGAUCCCCAGUGGAGCCA
Loxodonta africana (African savanna elephant) is the source of this 73-nucleotide transfer RNA. It matches the Rfam family "tRNA". From Rfam's summary of the family: Transfer RNA (tRNA) molecules are approximately 80 nucleotides in length. Their secondary structure includes four short double-helical elements and three loops (D, anti-codon, and T loops). Further hydrogen bonds mediate the characteristic L-shaped molecular structure. tRNAs have two regions of fundamental functional importance: the anti-codon, which is responsible for specific mRNA codon recognition, and the 3' end, to which the tRNAs corresponding amino acid is attached (by aminoacyl-tRNA synthetases). tRNAs cope with the degeneracy of the genetic code in two manners: having more than one tRNA (with a specific anti-codon) for a particular amino acid; and 'wobble' base-pairing, i.e. permitting non-standard base-pairing at the 3rd anti-codon position. The record is from Rfam. NCBI's taxonomy places the organism in Eukaryota, Metazoa, Chordata, Mammalia, Proboscidea, Elephantidae.